UACCCAAGCUGGGGUCGCCGCGAGCGACUAGAAGUUUCCCGUCCGCCAGAAUCCCCUGCGUGCGGCCUCCCCCGGGCUCGGCGCGGGCGGCCUGCAGAUUCGGCAGCGCCGCCCUGGCUUGGGCUCGGUCUAGCCACGGCGGCGCAUCCUUGGAACAGCCUCGUCGCAGGCGAUGUCAAGCCUCUGCGGACCUUGGUAGCGGCAAACCCAUCGCCGACCAACCCAGCCGCCUAGUAGCCUACUGCCUACAGCCAAAGCAAGCAUUGAUCCCUCCUUUACCUUGCCAUGGGCUAGAACCUCAGCGGAUAACUACCAUCAAUCUGGGGGCAUUCCAAUAAAUGAAUCUUUUGAAACCUGCUUAAGGGCUGUUCAGAUCCUGCCUGCUGGUCUUGCAACUGAUGCAGUGCGAGAGUGUGAAGAGCUGAGAACUCAAGGUAUUGUUUUUAUUUGUUGGAAGA
Panicum virgatum (switchgrass) is the source of this 458-nucleotide long non-coding RNA. RefSeq lists it as uncharacterized. Lineage: Eukaryota; Viridiplantae; Streptophyta; Magnoliopsida; Poales; Poaceae. The transcript has 4 exons. The record is from RefSeq and is a predicted model, not a curated record.